This is a long non-coding RNA of Grammomys surdaster, 371 nucleotides long. RefSeq lists it as uncharacterized. The transcript is spliced from 4 exons. The record is from RefSeq and is a predicted model, not a curated record. NCBI's taxonomy places the organism in Eukaryota, Metazoa, Chordata, Mammalia, Rodentia, Muridae.
GAAGAACUGAAUCUGCCCCUAGCCAGCUGCAAGACUCGAGAGGGCAUGCCUGCACGUUUCGGAAGAUGUGGGAAAAAAGCCAUUUGUGGGCAUGCCACUGUGAAAAGACCAUCUCUUUUCAGCAUGGGGCAGGAGAGCUGAGUUGCAGAUGGGACCACCUACAAAUAUUGUUGGUUUGACCUGGACAAGAACUCAGAGACAGACUGUAUUUCUCAAUGCAAGCUCGUGGAGAGACCGAUCGAGGGAAGCUGCUGCUGCUGUAUCAGACAAAUGAUCAGCUUAUAAAUGGCCUUUUUCCUCUAAACAAGGAUCUGGCACUAGAAGUGGCAGCGCUUUUAGCUCAGAACAACAACAACGACCAAAAAAAAAAA